Molecule: ribosomal RNA, 406 nt
Filed under: uncultured bacterium
Lineage: Bacteria
Description: partial 16S ribosomal RNA
Rfam family: Bacterial small subunit ribosomal RNA
Source: RNAcentral
AUUGAACGCUGGCGGCAGGCCUAACACAUGCAAGUCGAGCGAGCGGCGGACGGGUGAGUAAUGUCUGGGAAACUGCCUGAUGGAGGGGGAUAACUACUGGAAACGGUAGCUAAUACCGCAUACCAUCAGAUGCGCCCAGAUGGGAUUAGCUGGUAGGUGGGGUAACGGCUCACCUGGGCGACGCUCCCUAGCUGGUCUGAGAGGAAGACCAGCCACACUGUAACGGAGAAACGGUCCAGACUCCUACGGAAGGCAGCAGUGGGGAAGAUUGCACAAUGGGCGCAAGCCGGAUGCAGCCAUGCCGCGUGUGUGAAGAAGGCCUUCGGGUUGUAAAGCACUUUCAGCGGGGAGGCGUUACCCGCAGAAGAAGCACCGGCUAACUCCGUGCCAGCAGCCGCGGUAAUUC